CAAUGUCAGACUAUCCUCAUUCUGGAGACAAAGUGCGGACCGUGGCCUGCAAGUGGGAGUGGAAAGUCUUCAAGGAUAUACUGCAGCCAACCCAAGCAUGUACAGGGUUGGAAUGAUCUCCUUCCGCACAAGAAGAGCAGACCGUCACCCGCCAGCAGGAGUUGGGUGACUGCAGCCAAUCCCCAGACGCCAAGUUAAUCAAUGUUGAGCAUAUCAGGCCUUGACCUCUCUCGACUUCCAAUUGACAGGAUGCGCAGAGAACAGAAGUGCCUGUGACAGGAUUCCCAGCAAGCAGCAGAGCCCGGCAGACGUUGCAGCAACCGGGAUCCAAUUCCGUAGCCAGGAAGCCUUACAGAGAAGCAUUUUGAACUUAUUUCAUACUGUCUCCUUUCCUAUCAUCCUAAUCUAACAUAGCUAACCAUUCCCCUCCCCCUCCAUCAUGCAUUUUCCUGACCUAACUGUCUUCAUUUGCUGACUUCCUUUUGUAUUAAUUUUCAUGUCAUGUCUCUGAAUUUCUGUGAUUUGUUGGAUUGUUUUGAAUUUGUACUAAUUUUCUGUCAGUUGUGUAUUUUCAGUGACUCGGACGUGGUACGACGCUGGAGGAUCAAGGCCGGCCAAAAGAUGAAGAUUCCAUUGCCCAGUUAUGUCCGUCGGCCAACAUUGGCCAGAGCGGAAAAUGGUCAGGCAAGCGUCGAUCCCACUGUGACGUACAACUCUGUGGUCUGUCUGCAGCAGUCUGGAGAGCAGGGAGCGACUGCAGCCAACCAUUGAAGAGAGGAGAUGCAGUGUAAUGCAGCCCUCUAUCCCCAGCUGUGAAGGGGAGCCUGUCACCUGAAAAGCAAGAGUGCUGAAAGUCGAGGAGUCCACUGCGGCCACACCAAGGACGGUCAAGGUCAGACUAUCCUCAUUCUCGAGACAAAGUGCGGACCGUGGCCUGCAAGUGGGAGUGGAAAGUCUUCAAGGAUAUACUGCAGCCAACCCAAGCAUGUAAAGUACAGGGUUGGACUGAUCUCCUUCUGCACAAGGAGAGCAGACAAUUCAAGGU
Molecule: long non-coding RNA, 1045 nt
Organism: Saccostrea cuccullata (small rock oyster)
Lineage: Eukaryota; Metazoa; Mollusca; Bivalvia; Ostreida; Ostreidae
Exons: 7
Source: RefSeq, a predicted model, not a curated record